RNAcentral lists this ribosomal RNA (257 nucleotides) under uncultured bacterium. RNAcentral's name for it is "partial 16S ribosomal RNA". It matches the Rfam family "Bacterial small subunit ribosomal RNA", at positions 28 to 280 of the family's 1533-position model. The record is from RNAcentral.
GAUGAACGCUAGCGGCAGGCUUAACACAUGCAAGUCGAGGGGCAGCACGAUGUAGCAAUACAUUGGUGGCGACCGGCGCACGGGUGCGUAACACGUAUGGAAUCUGCCCUUUAACUGGAGGAUAGCCCGGAGAAAUCCGGAUUAAUACUCCAUAACUGUCGAGGUGGCAUCACCUUGAUCUGAAAGCUCCGGCGGUAAAGGAUGACCAUGCGCACGAUUAGCUAGUUGGUGAGGUAAUGGCUCACCAAGGCUACGAU